UUACGGACAUACCACGUUGAAACAGCGGUUUUCAUAUGGUCGCCGAAGUUAAGCAACGUCGAGCCUGGUCAGUAACUAGAUGGGUGACCGUUUGGGAACACCAGGUACUGUAAG
Molecule: non-coding RNA, 114 nt
Organism: Acanthosepion pharaonis
Lineage: Eukaryota; Metazoa; Mollusca; Cephalopoda; Sepiida; Sepiidae
Source: the annotation of a GenBank genome assembly